RNAcentral lists this ribosomal RNA (554 nucleotides) under Rhizophagus irregularis. RNAcentral describes it as "SSU rRNA". It matches the Rfam family "Eukaryotic small subunit ribosomal RNA", at positions 557 to 1112 of the family's 1831-position model. Lineage: Eukaryota; Fungi; Glomeromycota; Glomeromycetes; Glomerales; Glomeraceae. The record is from RNAcentral.
AAGUCUGGUGCCAGCAGCCGCGGUAAUUCCAGCUCCAAUAGCGUAUAUUAAAGUUGUUGCAGUUAAAAAGCUCGUAGUUGAAUUUCGGGGUUAGUAGGUUGGUCAUGCCUCUGGUAUGUACUGGUCUCACUGAUUCCUCCUUCCUUAUGAACCGUAAUGCCAUUAAUUUGGUGUUGCGGGGAAUUUGGACUGUUACUUUGAAAAAAUUAGAGUGUUUAAAGCAAGCUAACGCUUGAAUACAUUAGCAUGGAAUAAUGAAAUAGGACGUUCGAUCUUAUUUUGUUGGUUUCUAGGAUUGACGUAAUGAUUAAUAGGGAUAGUUGGGGGCAUUAGUGUUCAAUUGUCAGAGGUGAAAUUCUUGGAUUUAUUGAAGACUAACUACUGCGAAAGCAUUUGCCAAGGAUGUUUUCAUUAAUCAAGAACGAAAGUUAGGGGAUCGAAGACGAUCAGAUACCGUCGUAGUCUUAACCAUAAACUAUGCCGACUAGGGAUCGGAUGAUGUUAAUUUUUUAAUGACUCAUUCGGCGCCUUACGGGAAACCAAAGUGUUUGGGU